UGGGAAGGUGAAGAUUGAGGAUCCUUUUAAGUAGUUUUUGCUCAGCUAGCAAAACAAGCUGGGACAUGCAAGACAGAUAAACACAGCUGUUUGGGGCUGUCACUUGGGGCUCAGGAGCCAAGGUGUCCUGCUGUAGUGAAAAGUGCACCGGAAUGUGCCAGCCACCAUACUGUGAGGGAGCUGAAGUAAGCCCACAUGAGGAAGAAUUGAGGUCCCAAGCCAACAGCUGCAGCUAAGAUCCAAGCUCUCAACCAGUACCAGUUCAUCCGUUAUUUCCCAACAAUAUCAAUGAAUAAGAAGGAAGUCUUAAGGCUCCAGGAAUCCCCUCAGGGAGACUAGCUUUCAGAAUUUUAGGCACACUAAGAUAUGGAAGCUAAAAGAGGACUAAGAGGAUUCUGGGGAUAUUACAAGAUAUUGCAGACUAUCUUGUUUUCCUGGAAAAGGAUUUUACCUCAGUCGACUGAAUUACUUUUUUCACUGUGUCUUGCCACUCUUCGUGCAUGCAUCAAAGACCCUAAUAUGACUUCUGGUGGCCUGGGACUCCUUGGGAAAACAGAAAAGGGGCCACAAAUCCCAUUUUGGGAACAAUCUGUUUUACUCAUGGAACCCCUGGAAUUAGAGGUGUGUAAGUACCUCUCAAAAUCUGUCUUUGUCUUCUGGCUAUGCUUUUUAUGAGGCCCUGGAAUUUGUAGUCCUAGCCCUGUUCUUAGAGUGUCUCACUAGGAGGCGUAAUAAUCCAAUUAGGAAACUAGCCAAUGAAAAAUCUCAUAACUACU
Molecule: long non-coding RNA, 776 nt
Filed under: Homo sapiens (human)
Lineage: Eukaryota; Metazoa; Chordata; Mammalia; Primates; Hominidae
Description: novel transcript
Source: RNAcentral